This 952-nucleotide long non-coding RNA is filed under the name Anas platyrhynchos platyrhynchos (common mallard). RNAcentral describes it as "lncRNA (ENSAPLG00000019101.1)". Lineage: Eukaryota; Metazoa; Chordata; Aves; Anseriformes; Anatidae. The record is from RNAcentral.
AAGGACAGGACAGUCCCCCUAAGGACCUGCAUAGCCCUACUACAGAACUGGCUGGCACAGCACAGAGCAAGUCCCAGGGAUUUGAAAGCAGAUGAAAGAUUUCACCAUCUGCUGCUGAAGUGGGAGCACGAGGAAUCUGCCUGGCUCAGAUCUCCCCUGAUCAUUUUGCUGAAGAAGGUCAUAAUUCUGCUGAUGUCUGGACUGUGCUAGCCACCUCUUGCAAGCAUUUAUCUAAACUUCCAUCACUGAAAGCUAAGCUAAAGCUUAGACCAUUGGUGUAAUGAAUGAAUGGUCAACUCGGUGUUAUCCUGGGUAUUUGGUGGCUCCUACUGGAUUCCAUGGAUAUCAGCAUCUGAACUGGAUAUUCGCCUGGAAGCAACAAGUUCCCUCCAAGUUCUCAAAAACUUCUUGUAUGACUGUGAUCCAGUACAUGGAUCCAGGACACCACAUCUCUUGGUACAUGGGAAAUACUGAAAGGUGUGUAAGCUGUUGUGGCCUUGUCUACCAGAACAACCGUUGGACUGUUCAACCUUCAAAAGCUAUCACCAACUCAUCAUGCUGCUGUGGUGAUGACAGCAGGACCAUUUCCAGGGGAUGUCUCUUCUCAAGUGGUCUACUCCAAAUGUGUUGUCAGAAGGCUGUCAAGUUACUAUUGAAAGCUUGAAGGCAUUCCUGUGAGAACAGGAGGGACAAGGGGAUAAGUGAUGAUGGUAUGUCCUUACUUCACUGACAGUUUAAAUUCUGUAGCAUUAGACCUUGGCAAGUGCUAUGGCCAAGGAAACGUUUGCUGGCACUAAUGUUCUCCUAAAUUCUGAUCAACAACCUUAUUGCCUGUGCUGUUAACAUGUGGGAGCUCAUGGGUCAGCAGGGCUGGACCUAUUCAGACCCUGAGUAUUUGCUGAGGUGCUGUAGCAGCCAGCAAUAAACUAGGCAGUUUUCCAGUGUGUAACCA